Non-coding RNA from Equus caballus (horse), 3458 nucleotides. The record is from RefSeq and is a predicted model, not a curated record. NCBI's taxonomy places the organism in Eukaryota, Metazoa, Chordata, Mammalia, Perissodactyla, Equidae.
CAAGUGGUGCCAUGUCCACACCUGGGAUCCGAACCCGCGAACCACGGGCUGCUGAGAAGCGGAACGUGUGAACUUAACCGCUGUGCCACCGGGUCGGCCCCUCCUGGGUUUGAUACUGUAUGCUGGUUAUCCAAGACAUAACCGUUGGGGGAAACUGGGACACUUGGCAGCAGUAAAAGGUUGCCCUGAACCCUUGACAGAAAGUCAAAGGCAAGAGUAAUAGACAGAAAUACAAAACCUUGAGUCUUGGCUUUAUCACCUGGAGCUACAUAAUGCUGCCACCAAACCUGCUGUUAGGGUUGUUCAAGUGCCAGCAUCAUUACAGGUAUGGUUUUCAACUGCUGUUACUUUGCUAUAUUUGUUAAAGCUCAAUACAAAUUAGAUCAGACAACUCUGGACUAUGAAGGCUUUAAAAAAUGGCAGUUUCUUUAAGUACAAAACAGUGUCCAUGGAGGUAUCAUAAAGAUUUUUAAAAAAGUGAAUUUCUAUGUUGUCAUGUCACUAAUUUUUUUGAGAAAUCUCCCAUAUAAUAUAUGUUCACAUUGAAGGAGUCUGACUUUCUAAUUUGUGUUUCCUGACUGAUCUUUGCAACUGGGUUGUGAAGGCUCACAUCUUUGCUUUACAACUUCAGCGAGAGACCAGUCAGAUCCGGAUUAAAUCGUUGUAGUAUUCUUUUACUUAGUCCAACGCAGAGACCUCUGAUCAUUUCGCCAGCCACGAGACAGAAUUUACCAUCUGCUUAGUUUACACCGGAGUUGGCAAAACUUUUUUUUUUCCAUUCAGUGCUGUCUGACAACACUAUGACUAGAUCAAGAGAUUGGAUAUUUGAUCUUUUAAAUCUGUCAUAACGUCAAAAUGACAAAGUGCAAUGUGAAAUUUUAAACUCAGAGAGUAUUUUCCUCUUAUAGGCUUUUCUCUAUUCAUUUUAAUUUCUAUUUUUUUACCUCUUUGAUUUCGCUUUAAACAAUAUUCCACAGUUAGACAAAUGAACAUGAAAAACCAUGUCAAUAAUAUGUGAACAAAAGUUUCUUUUAAAAAGAGAGAUUUUCAGAAAUUUGUAUGGAAAAUAGUUUUUAAACCUGGCAGAAGCUAAAUGAACAUUUGUAGGAAGAAAAAUGAAAGAAAAGAGCUCCUAGGCCUCUUAUUCCACAGACAGAUUUGUAGUGAAUUAUUUCAGGGUAUAUAAUACUUUACUAAGCAUUUAUUGAUGGAUCAAGAGAAUUUAGGUGGCUCCUCCGUCACUUACUAGUUGUAGGGCCUUGGUUAAGUUGUGUAAACUCUCUAAGCCUUAAUUUUUUUCCCUGUAUGAUGAAAAUGAUGAUAUCCUAUCAUGUGCAUGUCAUGGAGUAUUCAUUAGGAUUACAGGAGAUAAUCUCUGCAGCUGGCUCAUAAUGCUUGUCAAAUAGUAAGUGCUCAAAGGCUAGCCAUUAUUAUAAUUGUUAAACUAAGCCAGAUUGAGAGACUUAAAGUCAAAGCCAGGGAAGAGGCAUUCUAACGUGUCAUUUACGUAGUGCUUCCUUAUUAAUGAUCUCAUUUGAACCUCCUAAUAAUCCUAAAGGCCAGAAGACCCUGGAGCCCCUUCGCUGUUGGCCAUGUGACAGCCCCUCAGAUGGCAAAGGCAGACUUGUGGGCUGUCUACAGAUCCGGACACCUGGAGGCUCGGCUCUGUUCCAAGAGGUGAUUUAUGUAGGCAACACAACCCGAGGAGAGGAAAGCCUACGCGGCCCUUUAGACUUCACAUCUUCUUCUACGCCUGAUAGGACUUUCGCAUUUUACAACUGCAUAAUAAUUCUGUUAUUAGGAGGAAUGCCCCUUCAUGUGCCCCAAAUAAAAAAAGGAAAAGUUAAAACCAGAAGUCUUCCAAAACUUAACAGGUCGGUUUUCUCAGAUAGGAAAACCAGACAAGUUACCUCACAAGAAGCAUAGGCUGUGCCACAAACCUUGCUCUUAGUUUUCUUUCGGUCUGAGCGUCCUCAGAUGGGGGUAGGUGGAUGUCUCCAGUUCUACUGGGACUUUUGGAGAAAUUGAAGGAAGGGAACCUCAUUAGCAGAAGGACAAGGAACUAGUCCAGGCGAUAUCUGAAUAUUUAUUAUUUGACCUUAUCUUGAAUGGAAAGGAAAGGCUCUUUGUUCAAAAAACUUCUGACUGAUGCCUGUUCUUUGGACUUCCCUCAUUGCUUUAUAAAAACAACCUAUUAAUUAACUUACUGCCUGUUAGAAAGAAGUGAGCUUUCUCUGAACUCUCACAAUUGGUCAUUACUGCUGGUAAGAGAAGCAGCAUUAUGAUUUCCUUUUACAUAUGAAGAAAAUGACGUUCAGAUUAACUUUAUAAUCAUGCAAUAAAUAAUUUGGAGAUCUGGGACCCAAGCAAGCAAAGGGCUAUGGCAGGGAGACCUGGGCUUUUGUUCUGACUUUGCCUACAGCUCGAGGCCACCACUUUGGUCCUUAGUUUUCUUGCCUUAAAAUGGGUUCAGUGGAUUAGAUUGGGGUGGUAACCUUUUUCUGUAAAGGGCCAGAUGUAAACAUUUGUGGCUUUCUGGGCCAUCCAGUCUCUGCGGCAACUACUCAACUCUGCCACUGGAGAGUAAAAGCAGCCACAGACAACAUGUGAAACAAACGGGUGUGACAUUGUGCCAAUAAAACUUCAUUUGCAAAAAUAGGCAGCGGCAUGGAUUUGGUCCAUAGGCUGCAGUUUGCAGACCCCUGGACUAGAUGAUAUAGAAGUUUCUUCUACUGCUAAAAUUUUAUGAUUCAACUUGUUUUAAUGGCAAUGCUAUUUCCCUAGGAAAGUCAUCUUGAUUACACAAUCGUCUGCUGAUUAUACAGUUUAUGAGUACUUAAAUAUUUUUCUGAUGUUCAUUGUAGCAUGAUUCACAAUAGCCAAGGUAUGGAAACUACUUAAGUGUCGUCUGUUAAUGGAUGAAUAGAUAAAAAAGAGGUGGUGUAUAUAUACAAUGGAAUAUUAUUCAGCCAUGAGAAAGAAGGAAAUCCUGCUAUUUGUGACAACCUAGAUGGACCUUGAGGGCAGUACGCUAAGUGAGCUAAGUCAGACAGAGAAAGACAAAUACUUACAUGUCGACCCUAAAAAAGCCAAACUCGUAGAAACAGAGAGUAAAAUAGUGGUUACUGUCAGGCUGGGGGGUGGAGAAUUGGGGAGAUGUUGAGCAAAGGGUACAAACUUGCAGUUGAAGAUGAGUAAGUUCUGGAGAUCUAACACACAGCAUAGUGAUUUAGCCAACACUAUUGUAUUAUAUACUUCAAAGCUGCUGAGAGACUAGAUCUUAAAUAUUCCCCUUACAAAAGAGAAAUGAUAAUUAUGUGAGUGCUAGAGGAUUUAGCUAAUGCUGUGGUGAUAAUCAUACUGCAAUAUACAAAAGUAUCAAAUCAAUACAUUGUACACCUUAAAUUUACACAAUGCUGUAUGUCAAUUAUAUCUCAAUAAAAAGUAUUUUUCUGCUU